AACACGAAGAAAAAUGGCAAAGCGGAAACAUUCUUAUCUGUUUCCCUCUGAUAGUGGGUUGUGUUUAUCUUGAACCUCAGCAGUUCCAGAAAGCGCUCUGUAGCUGAAAGUUACAGGUGAAGAAGCUUGAAUAUAGCUACGAUCAGUGUUUAAUUCCUUUUGAUUCCUCAUGACAAAAGCUAGUAAUGAGGUCUUUGUUGCGGUCAGCAAGAGAUGACCACAGAUCACAUGCUUGCGACACCUCUUCCUGAAUCCAGAGCUCACUGCCGACUGCUUUACGACUAAACCACGUAAUGGCCCCUAAGAUAAGCAGACUUUGGUCGGUGAGGUACCUUUCCUACUUUGAAGAACCAUUGAAGCCUGAAGCUAAAGACUAUUACAAAUAAGCCACGAACGUGUACCUAUUGUCAACGGCUUAAUGAUUCACCUGUCGUUUUUCAGUCUGUAGACUGAGACAGAGAUUAAAUCAUCAGUCAUUAUG
RNAcentral lists this long non-coding RNA (481 nucleotides) under Aplysia californica (California sea hare). RNAcentral's name for it is "uncharacterized LOC101864579, transcript variant X1". Lineage: Eukaryota; Metazoa; Mollusca; Gastropoda; Aplysiida; Aplysiidae. The record is from RNAcentral.